GGCCUCGUAGCUCAGCUGGUAGAGCAUGCGCGUACAAAGCGUAGGCGGCGUUCAUAUGUGGGUUCAAAUCCUACCGAUACCA
RNAcentral lists this transfer RNA (82 nucleotides) under Echinostoma caproni. It matches the Rfam family "tRNA". From Rfam's summary of the family: Transfer RNA (tRNA) molecules are approximately 80 nucleotides in length. Their secondary structure includes four short double-helical elements and three loops (D, anti-codon, and T loops). The record is from Rfam by way of RNAcentral. Lineage: Eukaryota; Metazoa; Platyhelminthes; Trematoda; Plagiorchiida; Echinostomatidae.